UGGGGAAUUUUGGACAAUGGGCGAAAGCCUGAUCCAGCAAUGCCGCGUGUGUGAAGAAGGCCUUCGGGUUGUAAAGCACUUUUGUCCGGAAAGAAAUCCUUGGCUCUAAUACAGUCGGGGGAUGACGGUACCGGAAGAAUAAGCACCGGCUAACUACGUGCCAGCAGCCGCGGUAAUACGUAGGGUGCAAGCGUUAAUCGGAAUUACUGGGCGUAAAGCGUGCGCAGGCGGUUUGCUAAGACCGAUGUGAAAUCCCCGGGCUCAACCUGGGAACUGCAUUGGUGACUGGCAGGCUAGAGUAUGGCAGAGGGGGUAGAAUUCCACGUGUAGCAGUGAAAUGCGUAGAGAUGUGGAGGAAUACCGAUGGCGAAGGCAGCCCCUGGGCCAAUACUGACGCUCAUGCACGAAAGCGUGGGGAGCAAACAGGAUUAGAUACCCUGGUAGUCCACGCCCUAAACGAUGUCAACUAGUUGUUGGGGAUUCAUUCCUUAGUAACGUAGCUAACGCGUGAAGUUGACCGCCUGGGGAGUACGGUCGCAAGGUUAAAACUC
This 551-nucleotide ribosomal RNA is filed under the name uncultured bacterium. RNAcentral describes it as "partial 16S ribosomal RNA". It matches the Rfam family "Bacterial small subunit ribosomal RNA", at positions 355 to 902 of the family's 1533-position model. The record is from RNAcentral.